CUUCGGUUGGACGAGUAAAGUGGCGAACGGGUGAGUAACACGUGGAUAAUCUACCCUUAUGUUCUGGGAUAAUUCUCUGAAAGGAUUGUAAUACCGGAUAACACCUCGUGAAGGCAUCUUCGUGAGGUCAAAGUCGGGGCAACCUGGCGCGUAGGGAUGAGUCCGCGCUCCAUUAGCUUGUUGGUAGGGUAAAAGCCUACCAAGGCGACGAUGGAUAGCCGGCCUGAGAGGGUGAACGGCCACACUGGGACUGAGAUACGGCCCAGACUCCUACGGGAGGCAGCAGUAGGGAAUAUUGCGCAAUGGACGCAAGUCUGACGCAGCAACGCCGCGUGGGUGAUGAAGCUUUUCGGAGUGUAAAACCCUGUCAGUGGGGAAGAAACGUAUAGGGAGUAACUGCCCUUUACCUGACGGUACCCGCAGAGGAAGUCCCGGCUAACUCCGUGCCAGCAGCCGCGGUAAUACGGGGGGGACUAGCGUUGUUCGGAUUUACUGGGCGUAAAGGGCGUGUAGGCGGGCUUAUAAGUCGGAUGUGAAAACUGGCGGCUCAACUGUCAGCCUGCAUCCGAUACUGCAAGUCUUGAGUACGGGAGAGGAGAGCGGAAUUCCAGGUGUAGCGGUGAAAUGCGUAGAUAUCUGGAAGAACACCCGUAGCGAAGGCGGCUCUCUGGCCCGAUACUGACGCUAAGGCGCGAAGGCUUGGGUAGCAAACAGGAUUAGAUACCCUGGUAGUCCAAGCGGUAAACGAUGGGCACUAGGUGUCGGGGGUAUCGAUCCCCUCGGUGCCGCAGCUAACGCAUUAAGUGCCCCGCCUGGGGAGUACGAUCGCAAGAUUGAAACUCAAAGGAAUUGACGGG
Molecule: ribosomal RNA, 857 nt
Filed under: uncultured bacterium
Lineage: Bacteria
Description: bacterial SSU rRNA
Rfam family: Bacterial small subunit ribosomal RNA
Source: RNAcentral